This 497-nucleotide ribosomal RNA is filed under the name uncultured bacterium. Its description in RNAcentral is "partial 16S ribosomal RNA". It matches the Rfam family "Bacterial small subunit ribosomal RNA", at positions 28 to 507 of the family's 1533-position model. The record is from RNAcentral.
GAUGAACGCUGGCGGCGUGCCUAAUACAUGCAAGUCGAGCGAACAGACGAGGCGCUUGCUCCUCUGACGUUAGCGGCGGACGGGUGAGUAACACGUGGAUAACCUACCUAUAAGACUGGGAUAACUUCGGGAAACCGGAUCUAAUACCGGAUAAUAUAUUGAACCGCAUGGUUCAAUAGUGAAAGACGGUUUUGCUGUCACUUAUAGAUGUAUCCGCGCCGCAUUAGCUAGUUGGUAAGGUAACGGCUUACCAAGGCGACGAUGCGUAGCCGACCUGAGAGGGUGAUCGGCCACACUGGAACUGAGACACGGUCCAGACUCCUACGGGAGGCAGCAGUAGGGAAUCUUCCGCAAUGGGCGAAAGCCUGACGGAGCAACGCCGCGUGAGUGAUGAAGGUCUUCGGAUCGUAAAACUCUGUUAUUAGGGAAGAACAAAUGUGUAAGUAACUAUGCACGUCUUGACGGUACCUAAUCAGAAAGCCACGGCUAACUACGUG